This 352-nucleotide ribosomal RNA is filed under the name uncultured Racocetra. RNAcentral describes it as "SSU rRNA". It matches the Rfam family "Eukaryotic small subunit ribosomal RNA", at positions 569 to 929 of the family's 1831-position model. The record is from RNAcentral. Lineage: Eukaryota; Fungi; Glomeromycota; Glomeromycetes; Diversisporales; Gigasporaceae.
AGCAGCCGUGCUAAUUCCAGCUCCAAUAGCGUAUAUUAAAGUUGUCGCAGUUAAAAAGCUCGUAGUUGAAUUUCGGGGUUCUACCGUUGGUCGGGCUUUGUCUGUACUGGCGUGUAGAAUUUCUACCUUCUGGGGAACCAUCAUGUUAUUAAUUUAACGUGGUGGGAAACCAGGACCUUUACCUUGAAAAAAUUAGAGUGUUCAAAGCAGGCUUAUGUCUGAAUACAUUAGCAUGGAAUAAUAAAAUAGGACGGUGGUCCUGUUUUGUUGGUUUCUGAAUCACCGUAAUGAUUAAUAGGGAUAGUUGGGGGCAUUAGUAUUCAAUUGUCAGAGGUGAAAUUCUUGGAUUUAU